ACUCGUGACGCGUCGGGUUACUUGGCGCCGAACUAAAUCCAAGGUGACUCGCCGGCGGUCGGCCUGCCAAGUGGCUAAACCGACGGUUAAACCCAAAUAGCUUGGCUAAGUAUGUAGAGCUUCUUGUGGAGGGCUUGCGGACGGGGGUUCGAUUCCCCCCGGCUCCACCA
Molecule: transfer-messenger RNA, 170 nt
Filed under: Methylobacillus glycogenes
Lineage: Bacteria; Pseudomonadati; Pseudomonadota; Betaproteobacteria; Nitrosomonadales; Methylophilaceae
Description: partial transfer-messenger RNA
Rfam family: transfer-messenger RNA
About the family: Bacterial tmRNA, also known as 10Sa RNA or SsrA, is named for its dual tRNA and mRNA-like properties. Its role is to liberate the mRNA from a stalled ribosome.
Source: RNAcentral